This is a long non-coding RNA of Vespa mandarinia (Asian giant hornet), 467 nucleotides long. The record is from RefSeq and is a predicted model, not a curated record. NCBI's taxonomy places the organism in Eukaryota, Metazoa, Arthropoda, Insecta, Hymenoptera, Vespidae.
UUUUUAUGCUUUUUAAAAUAUGCACAUUCAAUAUAAUUUUCAACAAUAACUUGAUCUUCGCAGUGGUCAUUUCACUUUUUAGAUGGCGUUGCUUUACAUAAAUUGCUAUCUUCUUUGAAAGCUCUUUGUGAUACCAGUACGUAGUUGGUAUUAUGGAACGGAUGAAUUUCUUCAAAGAUGUUGCCCAUUCGCUCCAUUCUCUGCCAGAUCUAAUUGCAACAACUCUUCCAUUACUAUCCAUAAUCGCAAGCGGAUCAUGCCUUCUCUCCGUGGAACAUUGUCGAUCGAAUUCUACUCGCAAAGCUUCUGCACCAGGAAUCUUCACAUGACCGGCCCCAUAUCCAUGAAUCUAUUAGUUGUUGGGCAGGCAUGGUAUUCUCCAUAAGUAAUGUAGUUCUUGCUGCUUCUUCGCUAUCAAUCUUUUGACAUGGACCACAAUUACAUCCAUGUUGAGGGCCACAAAUACC